AGUGAACGCUGGCGGUAGGCCUAACACAUGCAAGUCGAACGGCAGCACAGUAAGAGCUUGCUCUUACGGGUGGCGAGUGGCGGACGGGUGAGGAAUACAUCGGAAUCUACUUUUUCGUGGGGGAUAACGUAGGGAAGCUUACGCUAAUACCGCAUACGACCUACGGGUGAAAGCAGGGGAUCUUCGGACCUUGCGCGAUUGAAUGAGCCGAUGUCGGAUUAGCUAGUUGGCGGGGUAAAGGCCCACCAAGGCGACGAUCCGUAGCUGGUCUGAGAGGAUGAUCAGCCACACUAGAACUGAGACACGGUCCAGACUCCUACGGGAGGCAGCAGUGGGGAAUAUUGGACAAUGGGCGCAAGCCUGAUCCAGCCAUACCGCGUGGGUGAAGAAGGCCUUCGGGUUGUAAAGCCCUUUUGUUGGGAAAGAAAAGCAGCAGGUUAAUACCCCGCUGUUCUGACGGUACCCAAAGAAUAAGCACCGGCUAACUUCGUG
This 492-nucleotide ribosomal RNA is filed under the name uncultured bacterium. RNAcentral describes it as "partial 16S ribosomal RNA". It matches the Rfam family "Bacterial small subunit ribosomal RNA", at positions 29 to 507 of the family's 1533-position model. The record is from RNAcentral.